RNAcentral lists this transfer RNA (65 nucleotides) under Rhyacophila quadrifida. Its description in RNAcentral is "tRNA-Ala". Lineage: Eukaryota; Metazoa; Arthropoda; Insecta; Trichoptera; Rhyacophilidae. The record is from RNAcentral.
AGGAUUAUAAUUUAAUUAAAAUAAUUGAUUUGCAUUCAAUAAAUAGUAAAAUUUACUUUAUCUUA